This 497-nucleotide ribosomal RNA is filed under the name uncultured bacterium. RNAcentral describes it as "partial 16S ribosomal RNA". It matches the Rfam family "Bacterial small subunit ribosomal RNA", at positions 28 to 507 of the family's 1533-position model. The record is from RNAcentral.
GAUGAACGCUGGCGGCGUGCCUAAUACAUGCAAGUCGAGCGAACAGACGAGGAGCUUGCUCCUCUGACGUUAGCGGCGGACGGGUGAGUAACACGUGGAUAACCUACCUAUAAGACUGGGAUAACUUCGGGAAACCGGAGCUAAUACCGGAUAAUAUAUUGAACCGCGUGGUUCAAUAGUGAAAGACGGUUUUGCUGUCACUUAUAGAUGGAUCCGCGCCGCAUUAGCUAGUUGGUAAGGUAACGGCUUACCAAGGCGACGAUGCGUAGCCGACCUGAGAGGGUGAUCGGCCACACUGGAACUGAGACACGGUCCAGACUCCUACGGGAGGCAGCAGUAGGGAAUCUUCCGCAAAGGGCGAAAGCUUGACGGAGCAACGCCGCGUGAGUGAUGAAGGUCUUCGGAUCGUAAAACUCUGUUAUUAGGGAAGAACAAAUGUGUAAGUAACUAUGCACGUCUUGACGGUACCUAAUCAGAAAGCCACGGCUAACUACGUG